AUUUCGUACGUGGGACGGGCGUUGUGGCCAAGCGAAGCCAAUCCACUUAUUUUCCAGCAAAAACUGGCCGGCCCAUUUUCCUUUUUUCUGUCUUAUGUUUCUAUUUUCAUUUUCUGUUCGUUUAUGUUUAUCUUUCUUGUUUCUUUUUUCAUUUUAUUUCCAAGUUUAUUUUUCUUGUUUAACAUAUUUCAUAAAUAAAAAAUUUCAAAACCCAUUCAUAAUUUCAAUUUUUCCUCAAUUUUUUGGAAAGUGUUCAUACUUCCAAAAUUUUGUUCUCGUUUUGAAAAAUCUUUCAGAACUUUUUUCUCAUUUCAAACAUUUUGCAAAAUUCAAUAAAGUUCCUGUUUUUAUGAAAAUGUUUGUGUUUCCAAAAUUGAUUGACCAAAACAAAACUUGCACUUAAAAACAAUCCAUAUUCGAGAAAUGUUUUCUCCGAUUUUUCAUCCAUUCAUCAUCGACAAGAUUUUUCUAUCCAACAUGGUACUAAAUCUAGAAAGGUAAAAUAAAUUGUCUAGAAUUUCAUACGUGGUGUGUGCGCUCUGGCCAGCGAAGUUNNNNNNNNNNNNNNNNNNNNNNNNNNNNNNNNNNNNNNNNNNNNNNNNNNNNNNNNNNNNNNNNNNNNNNNNNNNNNNNNNNNNNNNNNNNNNNNNNNNNNNNNNNNNNNNNNNNNNNNNNNNNNNNNNNNNNNNNNNNNNNNNNNNNNNNNNNNNNNNNNNNNNNNNNNNNNNNNNNNNNNNNNNNNNNNNNNNNNNNNNNNNNNNNNNNNNNNNNNNNNNNNNNNNNNNNNNNNNNNNNNNNNNNNNNNNNNNNNNNNNNNNNNNNNNNNNNNCUUAUUUGCCGUUUGUAGCGGCGAAUCAUGUCUUGCCCAGUUUACAUUUUUCUUUGUUCUGUUUCAGUUUUUUUUUGUUUGUUUCUUUUAUCCUUAAGUUUCUUUUUUAUUUUACCUUCCAAGCUUAUUUUACUUUAUUUUCCUUUUUCAUAAAUUUAAUAUUUUCAAAAAACUUUCAUAACUUCAAAAAAUAAAACAUUUUUUUGAAAAAUGUUCAGAAUUCUAGAACUUUGUUCGCGCUUAAAACAAUGUUCGAAAGUUCAAUUUUUUUUCUCAUUCCAACGAAAUUAAAAAUUUACAAAAUAUCUCCAUUAAAAAUAUGUUUGUGUCUUCCAAAAUAGUUUGAGAUUUUUAAUCAAAAUGUGCUGAAUUCAAAAAUUAUUCUUCUUUUAGUGAAGUGUUCACAAAUUCAAGGUAAUUAUUUUUGAAUAGUCCCACAUUGCACCUUUACAUACAAUAAUACCAAUUUAUAUACAUCCUACAUGUAGUUAGAUGAAAGAUGGGUGGAUUAAGUUGGACGAAGGAUUCCUGGAUUGGUACGUGAACUAACUGGAAAAGGAACCCGAAUUUCUGAAAAUAUUCACAGUUUCUCAAAAAAUGUUGGUGUUUUCAAGAAUUGUUCGAAAUAUUUAACAACAAUGUUCCAAAUUCGAAAAAUAUUUUUGCUUUAGUAAAAUGUUUUCAAAUUCAUAAUAUUUUUUGUGUUUAAAAAGAACAUUUUGUAAAAUUGUCCUGAAUGUUGAAAACAUGUUUCAAUUUAUAAAACUGUUCACAAAUUCAAAAAUAUUGAAGUUUUUAUAAAAGUUUCAUGUUUUCAAAAAAAAUUUGUGAAAUUAAAAAUGUUCAUAUUUCAAAUUUUGUUCAUAUUUUCUGAACAAUGAAUGCAAUUUUCAGAAAAAAAAAACUGUUCGCAUCUUUAAAAUCUCUUCAGGAUGUUAACAAUUAUUCAUGUGUCCAAGAAUAUUUGGCUAUUCAUAAAAAAAUAUUGUUUUUCAAAAAGGUAAAAAAUCAAAAAAAUGAUAUCUGACGUUGCAGUAUGUUCUUAAAUAUUGGCGCUGGCCAUUGGUUAGCAGGACGUGUUUGUUCGAAUGGUUGGCAGCACUUAGUCAAGUCUUUCAGGUCAUGAGUUCAAUCCUUCAACUCAUUUUUUUUGUAUUUUUACUCGCGCCUUACAAAGACAAGUCGUUUCGGUGCCCGGGCCUUUCACAGCCCACGCAACUUAGCCAACCCAACUACCUGGGAAAUAAGGCAAAACAUAUUUUAAAUAGUCUCACAUUGCUACUUUACGUGCAGUCGUACCAAUUUAUAUGCGUGUCCGUGAAACUACAUGUAGUAAGCUGGAUGAAGGAUGGAUGGAAUAGUACAUGAGCUAGCUGGAAAAGACCCUGGAUUUCUUUAAAAAAAAGAAGACCCGACUACUUGAGCUAGAUACAUGAAAAAGAGAAGACCCGCCUCUUCCAUAUUAUGGAACUUCAUACCUUAAAAUCCCCAUGGAAAAAUGGAUUGAAUAACUUGCGGGCAUUCUCUGACGUGUGAUGACCUAACAAAACCCAAGACCUAAAUGUUCAAACAUUAUACCUUAAAUCUCCUUGAUCAAUAAACGGAACAAUAGCAGAUUGAUUACUUCUGACGUGUCUAUACACUUAAUAGAUAGCUAUUUACCUGGGAUUUGAUGACAUACUCAUGAUUUAAGACGAGGGCAUAAGUUGUUUCUCGUACCAUUGCUACUGUGGAAAAGAAACAGCUGACCGAUCAGGUGUACCUCUGUUUUUCAGUUAUGGACAGACACAAUGCUGCAGACAAUGGCAAGCUAAAAAACCAAUAGACUAUAAUCUAUUUGAUGCUAGACAUAAUACAGAACUUGAAAUAUGUACUGGUGAUCAUGCAAAUGCAGAGAGUAUUACAUAUGUUCAACAUGUGUAUUUUUGGGAACAAGAAAAAAUACCUGAUAAGGACUACUCAUCUAUAUCAUCAUCACCAUCUAUAGAUCAUCCGUUGUUUGCAUACUGCACCUGCAUCUUCUUUUCACCAAUCACCCAAAUUACUUUCACUGUCAAACACAUCAAUCAGUGACAUGACAAAUUGACAACUCCUAACUCACCCCAAUCAUUGACCCAACACCAAAAAGGGUCAGAACAGAUAGAUUAUGACAUACCCCGAGCAUUGUCAUGCUGAGAGAAUGCGUCGAUCCGUGGGAGCCAAAGCACUACCUCUGACCCAGAUGUAUUUAUUUAUUCAGUGAUCGACCUCAAUAACAAGUAACUUGCUGAAAUUUAUCAAAACGUCAUAACGAGCAAAGAAAUCCAUGCAGCAUCAAGGUAAUUAUUUUUGAAUAGUCCCACAUUACUCUACAUACAAUCAUACCAAUUUAUAUACGUCCUACAUGUAGCAAGCUAGAUGAAGGAUGGAUGGAUUAAGUUGUACGAAGGAUUCAUGGAUUGGUACGUUAACUAACUGGAAAAGGAACCUGAAUUUCUGAAAAUAUUCACAGUUUCUCAAAAAAUGUUUGUGUUUUCCAGAAUUGUUUGAAUUUUUAACAAUUUUCUUUAGUAAAAUGUUCUCAAAUUCAUAAUAAUUUUUGUGUUUAAAAAGCACAUUUUGUAAAAUUGUCCUGAAUGUUGAAAACAUCUUUCAGUUUUCAAAAACUGUUCACAAAAUUUUAAAAUAUCGAAGUCUAUAUAAAAGUUUUAUGUUUUCAAAAAAUAUUUGUGAAAUUAAAAAAUGUUCCUAUUUCAAAUUUUGUUCAUAUUUUCUGAACAAUGAAUGGAAUUUUCAGAAAAACUGUUCACAUCUUUAAAAUCUGUUCAGGAUUUCAACAAUUAUUCAUGUGUCCAAGAAUAUUUGGUUAUUCGUAAAAAAUAUUGUUUUUCAAAAAGGUAAAAAAUCAAAAAUUAUUUGAAAUCUGAUGCUGGAGUAUGUUCUUAAAUAUUGGCGCUAGCCAUUGGUUAGCAGGACGUGUUUGUUUGAGUGGUCGGCAGUACUUAGUCAAGUCUUUCAGGUCAUGAGUUCAAUCCUUCAACUCGUCUUUUUUUUGUAUUUUUACUCGCGCCUUACAAAGACAAGUCUUUCGGUGCCUGGGCCUUUCACAGCCCACGCAACUUAGCCAACCCAACUACCUGGGAAACAAGGCAAAACAUAUUUUAAAUAGUCUCACAUUGCUAUACUUUACAUGCAGUUGUACCAAUUUAUAUGCGUGUGUGCGAAACUACAUGUAGUAAGCAGGAUGAAGGAUGGACAGACUAGUACAUGAGCUAGCUGGAAAAGACCCUGAAUUUCUUUUAAAAAAGAAAAGAAAACCCGACUAAGUGAGCUAGAUACAUGAAAAAGAGAAGACCCGCCUCUUCCAUAUUAUGGAACUUCGUGCCUUCAAUCCCCAUGGGAAAACGGAUUGCAUAACUUGCGGGCAUUCUCUGACAUGUGAUGACCUAACAAAACCCAAGACCUAAAUGUUCAAACAUCAUACCUUAAUUCUUCUCGAUCAGUAAACGGAACAAUAGCGGAUUGAUUACUUCAGACGUGGCUAUACACUUAAUAUAUAGCUGUAUACCUGGGAUUUGAUAACAUACUCAAGCUUUAAGACGAGGGCAUAAGUUGUUUCUCGUACCCGUGCUAAUGUGGAAAAGAAACAGCUGACCGAUCAGGUGUACCUCUGUUUUUCAGUUAUGGACGGUCACAAUGCUGCAGACAAUGGCAAGCUAAAAAACCAAAAGACUAUAAUCUAUUUGAAGUUGGUCAUAAUACAGAACUUGAAAUAUGUCCUGGUGAUCAUGCAAAUGCAGAGAGUAAUACAUAUGUUGAUCAUGUGUUUUGCUCGGAACAAGAAACAAUACCGGAUAAGGACUUACUCAUCUAUAUCAUCAUCAUCGUCUGUAGAUCAUCCGUUGUUUGCAUACUGCACCUGCAUCUUCUUUCCACCAAGCACCCAAAUUACUUUCACUGCCAAACACAUCAAUCAGUGACAUGACAAAUUUACCAAAACAUCAUAACGAGCAAGGAAAUCCACGCAGCAUCAAGAUCCAGACGAGAUGAGCACAAUGCAGACGGAUCAAAUUGACAUGUAAAGACUGAAUGGAAGGCGAAACAGUUCAGUUUUCAGAUUCCGUUCAGCAACAACCCCGGAUCGAUAAGCGAUACUAACGACAACCAUGAACGAUUACAUACAGGACGCAAUUCGGAAACAUGACAGGCUCCCUCCGAUCCUAUGCAGCCAAGGCUCGCUACUCCUCAUCCGCGGCGGCGGUCUCCUCGGCGUUGGCGGUGUCCUCGGUGGCGGUGGUCUCCUCGGCAGUCUUCUUGGGGGACUUGGCGGUGGUCUUCUUCUUCUUGGUGGUCUUGGUGGACUUGGAGUCCUUGUCGGCUUUCUUGGCGGUCUUCUUGGGGAGCAGCACGGGGUUGAUGUUGGGCAGCACGCCGCCGUGGGCGAUGGUGACGCCGGCGAGCAGCUUGCCGAUCUCCUCGUCGUUGCGGAUCGCGAGCAGCAGGUGGCGAGGGAUGAUGCGCGUCUUCUUGUUGUCCACGGCCGCGUUGCCGGCCAGCUCCAGGACCUGCAGACGCGCAACCAAAAACGAAAUCGGUCAUCUGGUGAGGCGAGCACGAGAGGAACAUGGCCGGAGCCGGACAAGGCAUACGCUCGAGGGCGGGGAAGAUCGACGGCUUACCUCGGCGGCGAGAUACUCGAGGACGGCGGCGAGGUAGACGGGGGCGCCCGACCCGAUGCGCUGCGCAUAGCGGCCCUGCUUGAGGUAGCGCCCGAUGCGGCCGACCGGGAACUGGAGCCCGGCCUUGACGGAUCGCGUCACGGCCUUCUUCCUCUGGCCCUUCCACCUGGCCAUCUUCCCCUUCUUCUUCUCUCCGGCGACGUGGGCAGGAGGGUUUGGCGGCGGCGGCGGCGGCGCUGGAUCGGAUUGCUCUCGCUGCUUCGAUUGGUGGAUUGGAUGGGCGGUGAGGGGCGCGGGUUUUAUAGGCGGGGCGCGAUCUGUGGGAGGGUCUAAUCCACCAAUCAGAACGCACGGAUAUUUUCCCUUUUUUUUUUAGCAUCAGUACAGACACAAGCGCUCAUAUACACGCGCAUACACUCAUCCCUAUGAACACACACACGCACACCCCUACCCCUAUGAGCACCUCCGAAAGACUGAGCCGGCAUAUCAUCUUGAGAUUUACGAAGCCACCGUAGGCGCCUCGUCGUCGACGGGAACGUCUCCUCCCACUGAAAGCGCAUCGCCGGAAAUUCUGAAAUAAAUCCAGGAAUAAUGCGAGCACCAGGAUUUGAACCCUGGUGGGUUGGGGAUACCACUGUCCACCUAACCAACUCAACCACAGGUUGAUUCGCAUAUUUCCUCUUUUCUUGUUUCUUCUUUUCACCGUUUUUCGCCCUGCGAAGUUCGAAAUUUGGGGAACCGGGAGAAUGGAUAAACAUAGAGCGGUGGGCCGUAUUCAUUUACAGCUUGUUUGGCACUUUCGAUCUCAUUUCAUUGGGUUGCAAAUGAAAUGAAAUGAAAUCCCAUUUCUGUAAACCUCCUUUGGCACCCAGCUAGGUUUUCAUUUUAAUUGAUGGAAAUGGAUGAAAACUCAUUCUUACGAGGAUUUCAUUUGGUGGCAUUUUGAUUGCAAUUCAAAUUUUCUUGUCUGGCUGUCAGCGAUUUGUGUAAUGCAUAUGUCAUAUGUUCUUUGGCUCCUAUUUCGAAUUGUAAUCAUAAACGAUCAGCAUGCACAUCUCAAUAUGUACAUUCAGCACAUUUACAAUAUAAAAAGGAUAAUUAACCAAAAAUAAUUGUGCAUAUUUUCAACUAUCGAUAUUAAAAUGAUCUAGCGCAUCAUCUUCACACAUUCAAAUAUGUCAAACAUAAUCAUAUAAAAUGCAGAUCGGAAUAGUGUCAAGAUCUUUGAAAGACCAUUAAAGGGUUAAACUUGCGUUCAUUGAAAACCAGUAUCUUCAAAGGUUCAUACUUUGUAUUAAGCAUGGCAUGGAGGGUAAAAGACUAAAACUUGUCAUUCCAAAUGCAUUAGGAAAAUAUAUGUUUGAAUCCAAAGAAGAGGCUUGAACUUGCAACUGGAUCUUGGUUUGAACUUGGGGCUUAUUUGUUGCCCUGGAAAUAUCAUAGCAAGCAUGUAAGCAAACUUACUAAAGUAGUUAUAAAUAUAAAGCUUCUAAAACACCAUCUUAAUUUAGUAAUUGGCACAAUUGCAAAGCCAUAUAUUUUUUCUAUACAAUAAGCUAUAAUACACCAAGAUCAGCAAAACUGACUUGAUGUCUAAAUACAAAAUUCAUGUCUUGCUGCACUACCACAACUUACAAAGCCAAAACGAUAAGACCUUGGUUCAGACAAGCUACAAAGUUCAUGUCUUGCAAUAGGGAAUUCGGGGACAGAAAUAGCACUACUUUUAGCCAUGACAUUACAGAGCAAGGUGUAAGACCUUCUGAUCACUCACGCAACACAUCAACAUAUGGUUUGGAUAUUCCUCUCUAUUUCUAUUGUACAAAACACACAUGUAUUUCUCCUUAUCCUAUAUACCUAAGAAGUUCACCCCCACUAACCUAUUUAUCUUAACAUGCAACAUGUCCACAUCAGCAAUUUAGCCACGACAGCCAUGCUUGACCCACCUGAGGCAAGACCAGACCGCCUCCUCAGGGUCAACUGAACCACCAAAGCUGUAGUAACGCAACAAGAUAAUCUGGUCACCCAAACGUCUCAUGACCCAUCGUUUCCUCUUCGGCUUCUGUAUGUAGUAACAGAUGAUCACAUCCCAGAUGGAUCUUCAGUUUCGCUUCCUUUAUCUCCCCGCUUCCCACAUCAUCUCACGGAGCUGCAGCCACCAAAACCACGUGCGACCUCAUAAUCAGGCAGAUCAAGCUCGAUGCUCCUCCACCGUGGUGCACUUCGACGGAAACAUCGCACGCCUGCAGCGCUCCCAUGGCGCCCCACAUCUGGUUCGAUCGCCCGUCGAUGUCCUCCGUCCGCCGUCUGCAUUGGCUUCACCCGCCGGCGGCUGCCCGUCACACCCCACCCGGAGACGGCGUGGCACCACCAGCAACUUUGCCGCCGCCCAUUGUACAGCCCUCAGCCCGUACUCCUUUGGCUCCGGUCUGGAGUGCGACCAGCCGGUUGGAACGACAUGCUUUUGGAGAUGAAGAAGAGGGGCUAUUUGCACCAGGGAUCUGGUCGCCUCUGCCAAACUUACUUUCUUACCCAUGUGCAAACUAAACUCUAUAAUAAUGGGUAUUAUAUUCGUUGAUGUUUCAGAUCUGCCCUAUACUUUGCUGAGUACAUUUUACUCACUUUUGUGUUUCCUUUCUUGGUUUUAUUUAAUUUUCAUGUACCCAGACACACGUGUCUAUACUAUAUUCACUACUCCUGCCUUGCCUUCAAAGGUGUAGAGAAUUUCACUCAUGAGAGGUUAACUGAUCCCUUUUAUGUUAAUCCCCGAUUAAAUCCCCUAAUUAACCUUGAUGUGCUGUUAUUUUUCUUAUUCCUUAAUAUUUUUCCACUCUUGCAGAAGUUACAUGCUGACAUUUUGCUUUGGCAUGCUUCGAUCCUUGCACUGUCUUAGGUUCUUCGUGAUUCCUCCAUGGAUUCAUUCCUAACCCUCCUCCACUAUUUUGCCACUUCAACAGGAAGUUAUCCUACAGGAUGCGUAGUUGGUUGCAGGUAAAAUAAGAUUACGACAUCACCUCCCCCCCUCCCCCCCGCGUGCGGCGGCGCCGCGCCGCACCGGGGCCUCCCCGCUGGCCCCCCUCUCCUCCCCGCCAAGCCUCCCUCUCCUCCCGCUGCCGCCGCCAAGGGCAUCGCAGGCUAAGCCCGCGGGCCGCAGCGGCGGCGGCGGCAAUCUUCCUCGGCCGGCGAUCGGAUCUGGGUGGCGACGACCCACUCCGGCCGAUCCAAGGGCGAUGGCGCAGGCCGGUGGCGACCAGGGUUGUCGUGCUGGUGGCGGCGACGAAGAGAUCACGUCAGCGGUUAGGGUGUCCGAUCUGGAUCCCAUUCGGAUUUGGAUGGUGGUUCCUCGAGCCGUCGUGCGCAUCCUUUGUUCCGGCGCAGCAAGCGGCCUCUGUACUAGGCACGUGACACGAGGACGUCGGGGGCUCCGGCCCUUGGCGUGGAGGUGGUGACCAUCUUCUUCGCCGGAGGUGGUCGGCUAGAUGGUUGUGGAUUCUCGCAUCCAGUCCCGGCAUACAGUGGGGAGACGGGGCUGCCGGUGAAAACCGUGCUAUGACUCGGGUCAUGGCGGGCGAUGGCGGCGUUUUUGCGUCGUUAUCUUGUUGAAGACAUCGCCUCUGCAACUUCUGUCGACUUACUUGCGCUGCUCUGGGUGAAAACCUUGAUCCGGAGUUUCCGGAUCGGACGAUGGCGAUGCUUUUGGGGUGUCGUUUUCCCUCAUGGGGGCAUCAUUUUUUGAGCAGCAGCUGGAUGCAGGAUCAGAGGACGGAUUAUUUGGUGGAGCGGUGCGGCAUCUCACUCAUUGAUGGCGGCGGGUCUCGGCGGCAUGGCGCUGUGGUGACUCUGCGUCCGACGCACAGAGAUGGACUCGCGCAGGAGGGUGACGCGGUCUGGCGUCGUGGUGGCGUCGACGGCAGCUAGACCGAGCAACGUAGAUGCAGCAGUACAGCUCUGAAGAUGGAUUGGUGGCAGGUGGCUGCAGCGGCCUCAGACCCGGCAGGCGACCUGGUUGAGGAGUGCGCUGGACUAGUAGGUGACGCGUACCCGACAGGCAUCCUGGAUGGGACCUCAGGUCUUAGAUGUUAGGUUUGGCUGCGAGGUCUGUUUGGUGCUAGGCCAGACUAUCAGCAUCCCUUUAUCUCUUGGAUAGGAGUAGCGACACUUUUGUUGCCUAGACGGUUGCUUCAGUCUUACUGUUGUAUGACUUUGUAAGGUUUUGUGUGAAUAAUUAAUAAAGUGGCUGCAUGCAUCGUCCAGAUGUAGAGGCCGGGGGUCCUCCUCCAUUUCAAAAAAGAAAGAAAGAGGUGUUUGAUGGAUUCAUCCCGAUCACAAUAACUACAUCUUGUAGAUCCAGUCCAGUUGCGUUUUGCCAAGUUGUCCUUAAUUAAAAAUGACUUGUUUGUGUACAAACCACAUAAACACUUUAACUCUCAAAGGUACUUUGACAUGCCAAACAUGUUUCGAACUAGGAAUAGAGAUAGAGUUGAUAACAUCCAGAUACAUGGAUUUAACCGUAAACUCUCCAUUCCUAGUUAGCUUCCAGCACAACUUAUCGGGUCGUUGAGAAGCUGAACAUCCAUCAGUCGUCUCACAAGAUGGAGCCAAGCUUCCCAACAGUUUUCGGCUAGCGUUCUCCUGAAGUGAACAUUGAGAGGUGUGAACUGUACUACUGUCGCAAUGGAUGCAUCUCUCCGUUAAACAAUGCUAUAGAGAGAAGGAUAUUGAAGCGCGAUGGGUGAGUCCUCUAGCCAUGUAUCCUCCAAGAAACUUGUAGAGGUACCGUUAUCGACAAUAAAUUUUGUCCUAUUAAAAAAUCUGAUUUAACUCUUAUCAGUCCUUUCCAGAAAGGCGAAUCCGUCGGCCUCACUGUCACCUGGGACAAAAUUUUGGAAUGAAGGUACUUAUUACGUAAAAUAUGUGCCCAUGUGGCCUUCGUCUCUACAGAUAGCUUAUACAACCAUUUGCUGAGGAAACAUCUGUUCUUCACCUCAGGAUUUUCGAUACCUAGACCUCCUUGGUCUUUCGGUCGACAAAUAAUAUCCCAUUUAGCGAGUCUGUAUUUUCUCUUCAGAUCAUCACUCUGCCAGAAGAAGCGGGAUCGAUAGAAAUCUAGUCUUUUCCGAACUCCAACUAGUACCUCGAAAAAAGACAAUGGAAAAAUGGGCAUACUCUUGAGAACCGAAUUAAUGAGGAUUAAUCGGCCCCCGUAUGACAUCAGCUUGCCCUUCCAGCAGCUAAGUUUCUUCUCAAAUCGAUCCUCAAUUCACUUCCAUUCUCUGUUUGUUAGCUUACGAUGAUGAAUUGGUAUACUCAAAUACGUGAAAGGUAAAGCCCCCAAUUCGCACCCGAACAAUUGUUUAUACGCCUCUUGCUCCUCAUUGGCUCUUCCAAAACAGAACAAUUUGCUUUUGUGGAAAUUAAUCUUUAACCCGGCCAAUUGUUCAAAUAAGCAUAACAGCGGCUUCAUGUUUCUCGCUUUUGCCAAGUCAUGCUCCAUGAAGAUGAUAGUAUCAUCCGCGUACUGUAGGACAGACACACCUCCAUCAACUAGAUGAGGUACUAGGCCACCUACUUGACCAGCAUCCUUAGCCCUUCCUAUUAGAAUCGUCAACAUGUCGACUACAAUGUUGAACAGAAUAGGUGACAUCGGAUCUCCUUGUCUCAGGCCCUUAUGAGUUUGAAAGUAGUGACCUAUGUCGUCAUUCACUUUAAUUCCAACACUCCCUUUUUGUGUGAAAAGUUCUACCUGGUGCCGCCAGGCUGGAUCAAAACCUUUCAUAUGCAAGGCCUGUUGAAGAAAUGGCCAUUUGACUUUAUUGUACGCUUUUUCGAAAUACACUUUGAAAACAACCAUGUCUAGUUUUUCGUGUGAAUUUUAUGGAGCGUUUCAUGAAGGACCACAACCCCUUCUAGGAUGUUUCUGUCCGGCAUGAAAGCAGUUUGGGAGGCUGCACCACAGAGUGCGCGAUCUGCGUGAGUCUACUAGUCCCUACCUUGGUGAAAAUUUGAAAACUUACGUUUAGAAGACAGAUUGGCCUGAACUGCUCAAUUCUCACAACCACUGUUUUCUUAGGAAGCAAAGUUAUUGUUCCAAAAUUCAAAUGAAACAAUUGAAGUUGUCCAGAGAAUAAAUCAUGGAACAUCGGUAUCAAUUCCCCUUUAAUAAUAUGCCAGCAUUUUUUAUAAAACCCCGCCGGAAAAUCAUCCGGCCCCGGAGCUUUAUUAUUCUUCAUCUGUGAAAUAGCUUCAAACAGCUCUUUCUCCGAAAAUGGGGCGGUUAAUAAAGCGUUCUCUUCUGCAGCAAGUUGAGGGACAUCCUCAAUUCUCGACUCAUCUAAGGAGACGAAAUUAUCCUCCGGAGGCCCAAAAAGCUGCUUGUAGUAGUUGGUUAUGUAUAAUUUUAGGUUUUCCUGUCCUAAAAUCGUCCCCUCAUCUUGCUCAAGCCGAAAGAUUUUUUUUCUUUCUAUGCUUGUCAUUGGCGAUCAUAUUAAAGAAUUAAGUGUUGGCGUCCCCUUGAACAACUUUGCGAACCUUAGCCCGCAAUGCCCAUUUCAAUUCCUCCUCUCGCAGGAGUUCUUUCAAUCUCAUCUCUGCGUCAACUUUAGUUACCAUGACUAAGAUAAUCUCCUAUGAGCUGCCGACCAGCUCUUCAUCGGAGACCAGCAAUGGCAAAGGGAAGCCGUCGCCGGCACCGCACCUUGCUGACGGCGACGGCGGCAUAGUGUUUCGGGUGCGUAUGUGGGCUAUAUCUAUAUACUUUAUACCAAGCCUACAAAUUCGAUCUAGGUUUUACUCACUUGCCUACCAAUUGUUAAUGACCGUGUUCAUGUGAGUUUAUACUUCCAUCAAAUCCAUGCUUGACGAUGUGCUUGCAUGCAGCACCUGACGGUCAGUGUGAUCAUGUUUCCAUCCUUCUGCAUCUCGGCCGGCAAUGUAUGGACGGACGCAGGCAAUCAUUGGUGCAACAUGAUCACCGCCAUCGUCUUCCUCUACUCCACGGUCAUGAUCCACCUUCUGCUCAUGAGACGUCGGGAUCAGAAGAAGAUACGGGAGCUCGAAUCGUGCGAGUGAUUAUUAUUAGCACACCCAGGGAUUGUGUAUGUACCGAUCGAUUCUUGGCACCUAAUAAUUCACCAAUAUAUUCUAUUUUGCUAGGCAACAUAUGUUCUGACCCUUUAAUUGCUUCGUGCAGUUGACAUCAGUGUUGACGGCGGUCGCGACCGUGAUCAUGUUAAUCUCCUUGGGUGUCGCCCUCUUCGUCUCUCGCCCCGCUUGGUCCGACCUGGCCUCCAUUGCUCUGAUGCUCUUGGCAAGCAUGGGGUUGACGUUUCUUUCGCUCAAACUUGAGGAAUAUGAGAGGAAAAAGAAGCUUAAGGAAAAACAUGAAAAUGCCUCUGAUCUCGUCUAGUUCCAGUGUAAUUGUAUGUAAAAUACAACUGCUUACUUUGGUUUAUUUUAGUAAGUAUAUAAACUCAACAAAAGCUCACAGAAGAAGAAGAUCCCAUGUCAUGGUACUUUUGAGGGUUUUUUUUUUUUUUGAGGAACCGGCAGAAGCACCAUCUACUUGAGAGAAAGAGAUGAACCAAAUUAACAAAGAGUUGCACGUUUUGCGGGGAAACAUGGGCGAAACCAAACACUACACAACUAUAUGGUAAAUUUAGGUGGUGUUUGGUUCUUUACUCCUAGGACUUUUUCUAGUCCCAACUAAAAAGUCCCUAGUCCCUAAAAAGUCCCUCUCUGUUUAUUUUCAGAGACUAAAAAGUCCCUAGUUCCUUGCUAGAGGUCAUUAAAUGACCAUGUUGCCUCUAGUAUAUAGAAAAAUAACAAUCAAAGAACAUCAUGGGGUGGCGGGCCAAUGGGUGCAUGAAGGGGCAUUGUUGGAAAAGUCUCAAAAAGACUCUGCUUGAGAGUCUUCUUCAUUUAGUCCCAAAUGCCUAGUUUAGUCCCUAAAAAGUUCCUCCCGUUUGGUAAAAAAGUCUCUAAGAAAGACUUUUUCUACUCCCUACACAAAAAAGUCCCUAAAAACAAACACCUCCUUAACCGAUGCGAAUGGCCGGCACGGCACAUGCAAGCGACAUCUGCCCCCACUCCAUCUGUAUGGGCAUUAAACAUGAUCGAGAUCAUGUUGGAAAUAUAGAAGGGCCAUGUCUCCCCACUAAUUUAAAUUAUAUAUAAACCAGUUGUAGAGAUUGCAAUGGUUAACCAAAAUACUCGAGACUCUUAUGAAAUGAGAUUGAACGUCGAGGUCAUGCCUCUCCACCUAUUUCCAUGGUGGAAUCCAGUGGAGAUUAUAGCCGAAAAAUACUCAAAAUCAAAGUAGCAUAUAUGUCACAGGAUCUUCUAUAAGCUUUUGUUGGGUUUAUACUUACUAAAACAAACCAAACUAUACCGUUGUAUUUUUAGAUACCAUUACUCUGGAACUAUACGAGAUCUGUGUUCAAAAAAAACUAUACGAGAUCUGAGGCAUCUUCACAUUUUCCCUUAGGAAUCUUCUUCCUCUCAAUUUCCUCAAUUUUGAGCAAAAGAAAUGUCGACCCCGUGGAUAACGCUGGUCGUAACGGAAAGUAUCAUAUACUAGUAUCAUGCAUAUGAUACUAGUGUAUGAUACUACAUCCGUAGUGCAUAGUAUCAUAUGUUAGUAUCAUAGAUGACUUCAUUUAUUAGCAUGCAUGACACAUAAUAGCACAACAUUUAAUAUGAUACGGUAUCAUGAUAUGAUACUCAACCUUCUCUUUUUUCAUUUAAUUCUAUGUCACCUCAUUAAAUUUACCUAGUUGACAUGCAUGAUACUAUCUAUGAUACUCCCAUUACAACUAGCCUAAGGAGACCAUGAGAGCAAUGAACGCCAGGUCAGACCAGGCGGGGCGAAAGACGAAGAGCACGACCCCAAGGGAUAAUAACAUCCCCAUCGCAGCAACCGUCAACACUGAUGCCAUCUGCAUGCAAGAAACAAUUAAUAAUCCAUGAAAGAAUAUAAUGACAACGUGUUGAAUAGCAAAACAAAUUUAGUGAUGUUAAUUAGGUGCCAUGAAUUAAUGCAUCAAUCGAUACAUACACAAUCUGUGGGUGUGCUGAUAGCAAUCACUUGGCAUGAUUCAAGUUCGCUCUUCUUGUUCCGAUGCCAGCAUUUGAUCAGCAGCAGAUGGAUCAUGACCAUGGAGUAGAGGAAGACGAUGGCGGUGAUGAUCACGUUGUACCAAUGAUGCCCCGCGUCCUAUACAUGUGCGGCCGAGAUCACGAAGAAUGCAGACAUGCUCAAACUAACCAGCACGUGCUGCAGAAUUAACAAAUUGAUGGAAGUACAAACUCACAUGAGAACAUUCAUUAAUAAAUUAUUAGCCUUGGCACGUAAUGUAAAUAACACUAUGGUAUAGCUAGCGCAUGUACGCACCCGAACAACACUGUCGCCGCCGUCGUCAUCAAGGUGCGCCGCCGUCGACGGCUGCCCUCUGCCAUUCGUGGCCUCCGUUGAACUGCUGCUCAGCGGCUCGUAUAAGCUUUUCUUCGUCAUGGUAACUAACAAACUCUUCCUGCGGGGAAUCGAGGAGGGGGAGUAGCUAGGUCGUGGUCGUGACAACCUCUUAUAUAUAACUCUGGCGAUGUUGCGCCGGAUCGAAACUCAAAGUCGUCACUGGUUAUGAGUCUAUCUUGAGUUGCUAACAAACUCUUGUCUCUUGUUUGUUUAGAGAACCAAACUCUUAUCUCCGAUGCUAGACUUUGACCGCGUACGUACGACCAUCUUUCUGGUGUGGCUGAUAGCAGCCCAGUUUACAAGCAAAAGUUCAAAGCCCGGUAGUUGGCUGAAGUUACAGUUGAAGAGAUCGCUAAAACGGCCUGGCAAAAGGCUAAUCAUCGGGGCUUGUGUAAUCUAUCUAUUAUUAUAUAUAAAAAGUAUUUGACCGGUUAAUUAGAAAAAGUUAAUUAUGUAAGAAAUUACCACAAAACUUAGAAAGAUCCAACCGUUAUUUCUUCUUUUUUUUUGAACUGAUCCAACCGUUAUUUCAAUAGACUAAAAAACAGCAGCCAUUAGAUAAUAUUUAAGUGGAAAAAAUUAAAGUAUUUGAUGGGUUAACCAGAAUUAGAUAAUACUAGCACAUAUGCCCGUGCGUUGCAACGGGAGAAAAAAAUCUUGCAUGCCCUUAACUCAAUAACCAUAUCUCAAGACUUCCAAAUGUGACGUCAUAUAUUUCAACACGGCACCACACCCCUGCCGCCUCUUAUACUUCUUCCGCCCUUAUUGAUAGUUGCCGCAUUGUCCACUUGGUCAUACCACGUCCGAAAGUUGUCAAUCUUGGGGCGAUCAACUUGGCCACUGCACGACACACCUGUCAUUGAAGUGUACCAAUGCAAGGGGACGUUUAAAAUUUUAGAAACUAUAAUCUCAUCAAGUUGGCGUAAGGGCCGCCCUGCGCAAUCUACUCCUCGCACCUGGUCCAUGGAUCAUCCCGCAUAAGGAUUGACAACAAUUAGUAGCGGGGAAACACUACCAAACACUUCCAUACUUUUUUGGGAUAUAUAAGACAUGCACCUUCUAUGAAGACAAUUUAUUUUGUAUAUACCUAAAGACAAUUGUCUUGUUUUCUACUUGCAUGUAUAAAUCUUCGCCAUAUACUUCACAGGCGAUCUAGGUAUAUAUGCUUCCCGCGUGUGUGCUAACCUAUGUACAUAAUGUUAGUCCAGCAGUGUGCAAUCCUAUUUAGACUAUGGAUGGUGUUCACUUCGUUUCUAACUUUAUGUCGUAGUAGUUAUUACUAUGCUUCCCGCGAGUGUGCUAACACGUGUAAAUAUGUUAGUCCAAAAAUGUCGUAUCCAAUUUGGACUAUGGAUGGUGUUCGUUUCCUCUCCGGCUUUUAUGUCGGCUAGUAGUUAGUACCACUCUACCAGUCUGUGAAGGACACAAAUAAACACCAAAUCCAACUUCAGUUAACAACGAUCAUCGGCAAAACCUCUUCAUGUUUAGUUAUUUUCCAAGUCAAUUAAAAAAAGAUCAACACCACUCACGCUUUUCUAUCUUGAGCCUUUCAACCUGGCACGUACGUGCAUGGCAAGUUUGAAUUAUUCACAUCCUCUUCUCUUAGUCUCUCCAGCUAUUUUUCAUCCAUUGAUCAGGGUAACAGAGGCAACGUGAAUCAACAUGCAUAUCCACCGUCCUUAAAUUAUUCACGUCCUCAUGAAUUGUUUAAUAGCCCAUAUUAUAUAUAGAAAGUUAAUUAUCCUCUCUUUCCAGCAGCCCAUAUUUAUCGUCUCUUUCCUUCCUUAGCUUAGCCACCUCUAUCCUUUCUUAGCUUAGCGUCUAUAUAUAUAUAUAUAUAUAUAUAUAUAUAUAUUUCCUUCAUUAGCCUCUCUUCCUUCCAUGAGCUCUUCUCUGUCAUAAUCCUCUUCCUGAUACCGAAGGAACUGAGAGACGUAUAUAAGUUGGGUAUAUUGUAUGUAAGGGGGCGAGGUGGGAUAAUUUAACAACGCAAUCAACUUUGAUUCGUACACACAACAGGGGCUAGUUCACUGGCCACAACAUUGUUUGCUAUCCUGGAGGUUGUGAGUUCGAUACCUUCACCAGCAAAUAAAAUAGGAUUGUGGGUCCAAUUGUCAACAACUUCAGGGAUUUUUUUGCAAAAACGCCGCAACGGUGAAUCCGGCAAAAUCAAUCCGUGCUUUAUUAUUAGAGAAAGAUUUACGUGAAAAAAAUUACAGUAUUUGACGGGUUAACCAGAAAAGGUUAAUUAUGCUAGAAAUUACCGCAAAAAUUAGAAAGAUCCAACCGUUAAUUCAAUAGACUAAAAAACGGCAGACAUUAGAUAAUAUUUAAGUGGAAAAAAUUACCCACCUUUGCCAUUAGAUAAUAAUUGUAUUAAAAUUAAAAAUGAGGCAAACUUUAUUUCACAUAUAUCUACGCGAGUUUCGUGUGGGUAAUCAAUAUGCAGAUAUUGACCAUGAUAUAUAAAACAACAAUAGAGAAUAGUGCUGUCCUUUUCUCUUCUUCUAAUUAUAAACUAAUCGGUUGAUUUACUGAAUGUACCCUCACUAUAGUCGCCAAAAUCAUCAGUUCGCCAUUAGUUGUUUUGUAUAAUGUGUGUGAGUGGCCUCCAACAGGAUUUGUAGUAUCUGUCUCAAGUAUUGUAUAUUCAACAGGCUGGCGUCAUUCAUAUCGGCCUACAUGUGCAUAGAAUACAAGGAAAGUCAACACUAGCAGAUCAAAUCUCAGGUAGCAGAUCAAAACUUCGUAUUUUGCCAAGUUCAUUUAGUCGGGAUCUCGUCAAACUUAUGUAUCUACUGAGUUUGGUCCAAACUUGCACUCGGCAUUGAGAUGAAACUUGGCAAACUUGAUAUUUUGCCUAGUACCCGCGAAACAAGACUGGGAGAAUGGAAGAAACUCGGCAGUCUCUCAAGUUCACCGAGUUUAAAGUCUGGCAGGUAGGCCCCAUGGAGGAGCCGACGACUGCGAUAGCACCGAUUUACCUGGUUAUUAUGCUCUUGAUGAGCGCAUCCUACCGUGUGUGGGGGUUAUGGCCCCCUUGAACCCUUUAUCUAGCUUUCAACUUUUCUACAGAGGCUAACAUUGGUACCAAAAUUUGCUACAAAAACUCUCACAGUGUGUGACGACAUCUGAGGAUAAAAUUCGCAUAGGGGAUUAUGUCCACGAGGAUUAAUCAUACAAAGGUGGGCCAGUGCCAAAGGUGUUAGUCCGAAAAUAGAGCCACUUGCGACGCCACCACACGAAACUCUAGUUUGGCUUGCCAUAAGUCUAGCUCAUCCAUCAGGUCUGGAAUCUAUAGAUAUGCUGGCUCUACUCCAGGGUCGACUCCACCAGCGACCUUACUGGACUAGAUUUACAUUAGCUACAGGACUUGUUACUUCUAAACUCCUGGGACGCAUCAAGUUUACAUGUUAAUGAGGUUUCGGGGUAUGCAUACGAAACUUAUAAUGGGCGGUUGGACGCAGCUCUGCAUGGUUAAAUCUUUCGAAAAGUUGUGUCCAUGGUUACAAAGCGACUUGGAAAUUUAUAAUGUCUGGCAUAGAACAACUUCAACUAAUAACUAAUAUUUGCUCAAUCGUGUAUGUAACAUUGAGUGUCUCUUUUGGGGGGAAUGCGAGCAAGACGAGGACACAGGUUAACAAUGACUCGUAAGCAGGUGUUUAGGAUCACUUGUUGGUCAAAUAGUUGCGCCCCCUUGUGCUUAGGAAUUAUCUUAUCUUGUUCUAGUAUUCGUAGGACUAGUUGGCCUACAUUACUUAGCUGCUUGCUGCAACCUCACCAUUUAACCAUAUCCUGCCCAUAAGUGAUCUAGUCUUACUACCUUUUGUAAUGUUAUUGUUGAGUCUCAAUGACUCACCGAUACCAGAACAACAAUAGGUGCAGGUGCGGGUAAAGUUUUUCUCUAAGGCGAGAGCAUGAACGUUCUACGUGGAGUUUUUUUCAUUCUUGUUCGAUGAUGAUCAUUAGGAUGGUAUCUUGGUUGGGAUCCUAGGAAUAGCAGGAUGGAUGUUGCUUAUUUCUCUUGCCUCCUAGGCAUAUUUUCUUAUUGUCCUUACUUGGACCCGUGCCUUACUAGGAAAGCUUGGGUGAGCCAAUGUGGUCAGAAGCGGGCUUGGGAGCGGUUCAGAGACCCAUACAAACAUGCGUUGUAUGUCUUUCACAGACUGAACAGCACAGUCGGCACGUAUACGGGAGGUUUGAGGGUCGCGUGACAAGUUAUGCUCCAGCAUGUUUGGCAACUAAUUAAGCCCUCUACCCGUCUACCUUUGCCUCCAUUGCUUUGCAUUAAACUAAUUUGGUCAAAUGUGGGUACUACAUUUUGAUUUCGAUCAACAUCGUGAAUAUCGUGCAGUGAUACUACAUGUUAUUAUGAAACAUCUAUUAUUGGCUGCCGCAGUUGAUUUCUUUUUCUUAUCCUGCGAGUCCGUAUAGUGAGAGCAUAUUCACCUAGGAUAUCCCAUCCCGUCCCGUCCCAUCCCGUGUACGUACGGCCUUCCAAAUAGCGACUAGUCAACUUUUCCGUACAAAAAGAAUAAAAACUGGUCAAUGGGAUUACGUACACACUACACAUACUCCCCUCCCCUCCCCUGUUUUCGUUCUUUCGCUGGUUCUUCCACCCCCCUCGACCGCGCGCCAUUGCCGGGAGAGCAAGAAACUCAGUUGGAAGGAUCGAUCAACCGAUAUAGCUGGGUACAUGGAGGAAGCAGCAGCCGGCUCCGGCGAGGAGGAGGUGUACUGCGCGGUGGGGAAGGAGCAGUGGAACUGGAAGGCGAACCUGCGGUGGGUGCUGGCCAACUUCCCCGGCCGCCGCCUCGUGCUCGCCCACGUCCACCGCCCGCCGCACCGCAUCAACAUGAGUAAGCCUGCUUAACUACUUCUCUGCUUAAUUAUGUCCCAAACACUCUCUGAUCCGGCGGGAUGGACGACGAGCUGUAGUGGGGGCGUGGGUGCCGGUGAGCCAGGUGGGGGCGGCCAUGGUGGCCGCGUGCAGGAAGUGGGAGGAGGACGAGGCCAGCGAGGCCCUCGACCAGCUCGUCCGCAUGUGCAAGAUCCAGCGGGUUCGUUCCUGAAUCCUAUCCUUGGUUUGUUCACUAGUCGUUGUCAUCAGCAGCAAAUUAUUGCUGGCUCAACUCAUUGAACUAUCGAGUGCAAUAAUUACAGGUCCACGCGCGCAAGGUCAUCGUGUCCGGCGACGACCUGGCGGGCGGCCUGGUGCAGCUCGUCGCCGACCAUGCCGUCGCCGAGCUCGUCAUGGGCGCCGCCGCCGACCGGGCCUACUCGAGGUAUGUAUGUGUGGUUGCCGAGGGCUCAGACGUCACAGUCGGCCUGCCUCUUGCCUGUGGACAAUGUGAUGGAUGCUACGUUGUUGUCAGGAAGAUGCGGGCGCCCAAGUCCAAGAAGGCGGCGACCGUGCAGCUCAAGGCCAACCCCUCUUGCAGGAUCUGGUUCGUCUGCAAAGGCAAGCUCAUCUGCACGAGGUAUAUCACAUUCUCCAUGGAUGUUGUGCCGUCCUUUAUCCGAUGAUGCUGAUUGUUGACACGUACAGAGAGGCCAGUGAAGAGGGGCUGGUAAGCAGAGGAGAGCCAUCCACGGCGAGCACCAGCCCACGCCCAACCGCCUCCGACUGCUCGACAUCGGCAUCCUCGUCGCACCGCCACGGCGAUGGCGCCGCCGAGCGGCUCGGCAUCCACAAUGACUCGGUACGUGCAAGAACAAUGUGGCGAGAGUUGAUAGGGGUCGGGAUCAUCCAUUGUGUCGGUACGAUAAAUAGUCUCUGGGUGGUGAACCGUGCGUUCGAUAUGACAAUGUCAGGGUGACGCCGGCGAGAUGGACGAUGCGUUGGCGGAGAAGCUCAAGGCCGAAGGGACUCGCCGGGCACCUGUAGCUGCGGUGGAAUCUGUGCCCGUGACAGAUGGUGAUCAAGCUGUAGGUGUCUUGCGGUUCGGUUUGCCGGAGCUGGAGGAGGCGACAGGCCGUUUCGACGAGUCCUCCAGGAUCGGCAAUGCCGGCAUUGGCCGCGCCGGCGUGUACAGAGGGAGCCUGCGCGGCAUGAACGUCGCCGUCAGGGUCAUCUCCCCCGAUGCCGCCGUCGGCGAGGCGCGGUUCGCUCGCGAGGCGGACGCCAUCAGCCGGGUGAGGCACCCAGGCCUCGUGGCGCUCAUCGGCGCGUGCCCGGAGGCGCGCGCCGUGGUGCACGAGCUCGUGCCGGGCGGUAGCCUGGAGGACCGCCUAGCUCAAGGAGGCGACGGGACGCCGCCGCUGCCGUGGAGAGCGCGGUGCGCUGUGGCGUACCAGGUAUGCUCUGUUCUGGCAUUCCUUCACUCGUCAGCGAAGACAGUGCACGGCGACGUCCGCCCGGCGACCAUCCUCCUGCUCGAUGACGACGAGGAGGAGCACCUCCUCACCGGCAGCAAGCUCGCCGGCCUCGGCAUGCGUGGGCUCGUGUCGGAGCAGCGGCGGGCCGGCCGCGAAGCGCUGGCGUACGUGGACCCGCGGUACCUCGCGACGGGGGAGCCGACCCCGCAGUGGGACGUGCACGCCCUGGGCCUGGUGCUCCUCCGGCUGGUCGCGGGCAUGACAGCGCGCGCGGCAAAGAAGGCGGCUCGGGAGGCCGCCGCCGACGGGCGCAGGGGCUGGAGCGAGGUGGUGGCCGCGAGCGCGGGAGGGUGGCCGUUGGAGCUGGCCACCGAGGUCGCGCUCCUCGGCCUGCGAUGCUGCGCCGUGAGCGACGGCCGAGAGCCGUGUCGCCCGGCCGGUGAGCUGCUCGAGGAGGCGCUUACCGUGCUGAAGGCAGCGAUGGACGCCGCACCGGGCAGGACGUGGACGUCAUCACUGUUAUCGUCGUCGGAGACGGGGGCGUCCCACGGCGGCGGAUCAGAGUGCCACCAGCAGCAGCAGCGGGUCCACAAGGUAGUUGAUGCAGCGGCACAAUGAUUUUUUAGUCGUCGGAGUCAAAUACUCCAUGUAAUUUACGAGUGUGGAAAACAUUCAUUGUUUGGAGACGGGAAUGGGAAAAUAUCUGGUCCUCGAGGAGCAUCUAUCUAAGCUCAUGCGCUGCCGUGCGAGCUCGCCCGUUGGAUCUCAGAUCCAAGGGCUCUGCCAACCGUUGAGGUGGUGAUGUCGCUCUGCGUGGCAUUGAGCCGGCGAUGUACGAUUCCACUCCUCUCAGCUGGAGGAGGCGACAGGCCAAACGUUGUAAAUAUAAGGUCAUCUUCAAUGUUGACCCGCAAAUUUGCUCCGGCGUCUGUCAACAUAUAGGGGACCAGUUCAUGGACAUUGAUAUUGAAGGCCGCCAUACAACAUUGUCCGCAUGCAUUUCAUGCCGCAUUUGAACUAACCGGAUGAAAUUCAUGCGAACCGGCCGAUAUUCAUCAAAUUUGAGUAGAAAAUAGGAGGAAUCAUCUAUACAUAGCAUGCAAAUAAGUCUAGUACAGGAAUGCCUCAAAUUUAACGAGAUUAACCAGAUGUCCAACAAGUUUUUCAUCAAUGUAUCAUGUUGUCCUACACAUACUGCUCCUUCAGCUUCAUUCAACAGUGUGUGUAUAUAAAUGACCGUCCCUCUGUCAUGUGGUACAUCACGAUAGCACUUGCGGGCUACAUAAUGUGUAGACCAAUAUUGAGUGAAUGAAUGAUUUAAACAAGUUGAGCAAGAGGCAAAACUUACGAUCUCCUCAUCUACCGCGUGCAAUUGCCACCUUGCCUCCAACAGACCAACCACAUGACAAAACUUGGUGAUGCUGGUCUGCAUAGGUACCAGCGAUACAAUAACGACAUCACAUUGCGUUCUUGAAUAAUGUGCAUGUCCUAGGGCGCAAUGUGUUUCAGUGUGUGAAACGAUUCAUGUAGUUGCUGGCAGAAGGUCCCCCCCCUCCCUCCUCUGCUCCCGCCUAAGAAAUAUACGGAUACGGCCAACCAUGCAUUGCACAACAUCUCAUCCUCCAUGGCCGAGUACCCCGCCAUCCUUCGUACUCUUAAAAAACGACAUGGCAUCCAAAAUUAAGCUAAAUGACAUUUGAUCGAACACCUGUCGGGCGUGGUGUCCUCCAUGGAGAUCAUCGACAGAGGGGCGGAGUGUUCCUGGGUACAAACGACUCCAAGGUGGACAGCACCGUCAUAAUGGUGAGUGGGCGUCUGUGCUAGUCUGGACGUUCGGCAAUGUAGUCGGUCUAUGUUAAGAGAAAGUUUGAACAUUUGAGAUAUGUCAAUGUGUCUUUAAUCUGGUGAGAGAAUGCCAUGAAAUGUGCCUAUUUUGGAAAUUUUAGUUCGUAUGUAGUUUUCUAUUUGGGUUUUAAUUUAUGUUAAUGCUUACUAGCAAAAGGGCCCGUGCGUUGCAAUGAAAGGAAAAAUCAUAAUCUUCAACAGUCAUGACAACAUUUUGCUGCAUCACCGAUAACAUUUUGACAAACAUUUUGUUCAAUUUCAUUAAUAUUUUUAGUACACAAUUUUUUUUAAAAAGACAUGAAUAUUUUUAUGAAACCAUGAACAAUUUCAAAUUCACGAACAUUUUUUCAAUUAUUGCGAACAUUGUUUUUUAAUGUUCUGAACAUUGUUCUGAAUUGCCGAACAUUUUUUGAGUCAACAAAGAUUUUUUUGAAAUUUUCAAAUUUGCGAACAUAUUUUUAAUUAUUGCGAUCAUUGUUUUGAAACUUUUGAACAUUGUUAUGAAUCGCCGAACAUUUUUUGAUUCAAUGAAGAUUUUUCGAAUGCAUGCAAUUUUUAUAAAACUUGUGAAAAUUUUGUUUAAAUCGGCGAAAAUUCUUAGAAUAGCUGCUCAAAUUUUGAAAUGAUUAAUUUUUUUAAAAUUCAUGAAUAUUUUUUGUUUAAUGAUUUUUUUAAAUGCAUGAACCUUUUUUAAUUUCUUGUUCAUGUUUUUAAUGUUUUCGAAAUUUUGUUAACAUUUUCAAAACUUGUUCACGUUUUAAAAAUUGUUCAUUUUUUCCAAUUCCAUUCACUUUUUCAAAAGUUGUGUUUUAUAAUUUUGUUCAUGUUCGAUCACUUUUUCAGAAAAGCAAUUGAUGUUUUUAAUAUUUUUCUAGAAUUUCAAAACUUGAUCACAAUUUCAAACACUGUUUUUUUUGCAAUUUUUUCGUAUUUGUUUUUCCAGUUUCCAAAAAUUGUUGAAAAUUUUCGUUUUUUUAAUCUGCCGCUGCAUUUGGUUUAUAAAUGUUCGCGCUGUGCAUUAAUUGCUUAUUGGCAGUAGCCCAAGUGGUAAGCAUCAUUGUGUGUCCAUCAAGGUGUUGUGAGUUCGAUUCCUAAAGGAGCACAUUUUUUUGGAAUUUUCGGCUCGUAUUGUGCCAGUGAAUGGACCGGCCCAUUAAGAUUGUGGCCUGCGCUCUGGUUGUUUGAUGGGCCAGACGUUUUUCAUGGUGGGGACCGGCCCAUUAAGAUUGUGGCCUGUGCUCUAGUUGUUUGAUGGGCCAGAUGUUUUUCGUGGUGGGCCUGAAGCUAACUCGUCUCAGCCGAGUGACGAACUAAUGGGAGCAACUAGUUAACGAGCGCUCCUCAAAUGGACUGGAAGCGGCUUUGGAAAACGACGGUCCCUGUUAAAAUCAGGGUCUUUUUGUGGAGAUUCGUCAAUCUAUCCCAACGGAAGAUGUCAGAUUGCAUCGGAAUAUGACCACAAGCAGCUCGUGUGCCAUUUGUGGAACUCCGGACUCUUGGAAGCAUAGUUUGAUUGAGUGUACUGCUGCCCGGUGUGUUUGGUCAUUGAUGGAUCAGGAGCUAAUUGAUGAUCUGCGAAGUAAUACUGAAAAUGAUGCAAAGAAGUGGUUAUUCACUAUGAUCGGAAAACUUUCUCAUGACAAGUUCACCAAAGUAGCAGUUACCUUUUGGGCCAUAUGGUGGGUGAGACGGAAGCUGAUCCACGAAGGGUUGCAUCAAAGCCCUUUAUCCACUUACAUGUUCAUCACUCAUUUCUUAUCAGAGUUGGAUGUGGAAAAGAAUUCAAUACCGUCCCGUGUUAACAUCCCAGUUACUGCUGCACCAAGGAAAUGGAUUCCGGCCACUGGUGAUACUGCUAAGAUCAAUGUUGACGCCGUUGUUUUCCGUGGAGUAGGUGCAGCUGCCGCAGUUUGUAGGAACAAUAACGGGCACUACUUGAGGUCUUCGGUGCUUGUUACUAGAGGAUUGGUUGAUCCGCCAACUUUGGAAGCUAUGGCGUGCAGAGAAGGAUUGUCGCUAGCAAAAGACCUGGGGCUCCAGAACAUCGUGAUUGCGUCCGACUGUCAAGAGGUGGUGAAGCAUAUCAAAGCGAAGUCAGGUGGAAACUAUGGUGCAGUUGUAAAAGAGAUUAUUUCAUGGCAUUCUUCUUUUACUUCUUGCUAUUUUAAGUUUGAAUCUAGAGUCUCGAAUUUUGAUCCUCAUAAACUAGCUAGGCAUGCUGUAAAAUUAGAUCAUGGUCGCCAUAUUUGGUUGGGGCAACCACAUGAUACUUCUGUAAUACCAGUAGCAAUACCAACUUAUGAAUAAAGCCUAGUUUGUUGCUAAAAAAAAGUUAACGAGCGCUCCUUCGGGGGCCUCGCAACUAUCAGCGCCACUUGGCACGCUCUCAGUCAUUCGUCACGUGUCGCGCUCUGGACGCUCCCUUCGGAUUUUUUUUUAUUUUUCCGCACGCGUUUUCGGCUUUUUAAACGGUUUUUUUGGUUUUUCGACGUUUUGGUUUUCCCCCAGUCUUUCUUAGCUUUUCGAUCAAAAAAAUGUAAAAAAAAAAUUCGCGAAAAAACGCGUUUUCUUCCUUUCGCAAAAGUCAAGGUUUUUCUUCCGCGAGAGGCACGGUUGUGCUUUAUCGAGAGUCACGGCCGUGCCUUUCGGAAAAGAAAAAAAAACAUGUUUUCUAUUUUUUUUCUUUCACGAGAGUCACAGCCGUGCCUCUCGGAAAGGGAAAAACAAAACGUGUUUUCUAUUUUUUUUCCUUUUGUGUGAGUCAUGGUUUUGCUUCCGCGAGAGGCACGGUUGUGCUUACGCGAAAGUCACGGUCAUGCCUCUCGGAAAGGGGAAAAAAUACGUGUUUUCUAUUUUUUUUUCUUUCGUGAGAGUCACGGUUUUGCUUUCGCGAGAGUCACGGCCGUGCCUCUCGGAAACGAAAAAAAAACGUGUUUUUUGUUUUUUUCCUUCCAUGAGAGUCACGGUUAUGUUUCUACGAGAGGCACGGUUGUGAUUUCGCGAGAGGCACGGGCGUGCCUCUUUCGGAAAGGGAAAAAAACCAUGCUACCGGUUCGGUUUUUUCGCCCGGUUGUUUUCGUCCGUUUUUUCGUGAAAAAAAUAGUUCGUCAAAACCUAUCAACAUGGGAUCUAGUUUUGAAGAUCUCGACGCGAGAAAUCCAAUGAUGAAAACGGUUCGAGAUUUGGACGCACGGUUGAAGAGAUAAAACGUUUUGAAUAAACGGAUCUGUGAAAAAAGGGAAAACUCCCAUGUUGCGACAAGUGGCGCGUUGCAUGUGCGCCAUUUGUCAUGACCUGAGAAAGUGGAGUGUUCUUUGCAACGAGUACUCCUUAAUUAAUGAUUUCGCGAACGAAUACAUCGACUUGUAAAGAAAAGCAAAUGAACGAACAGAUCGAGGCGUGCAGACGAGGUAGGAAGCCUUUUUUCGUGCAGACAACGUACGAAGCCUCUUUUUAUUAUAAAAAAAGUGGAGAAACAAUGCUUUUUUAAUAUUAGGUAAAGAUAAAGAUAAAAAUAAAAAUAAAGAUAAAGAUUUAUGUUUUGGCCAUAACUAGCAAAUGUGCCUGUGCAUUGCAACGGGAGAAACAAAUGCUUGCACGCCCCACCCAUCUUGCAACGGGAGAAACAAAUGCUUGCACGUCCCACCCAUCCAUGUUGUCAAUUCUAAUCUUUGCUGCCGUCACAAACGAUGACCAAGCUAUCCAUCUAUUCAACAAUGGUGGGUGGUCAGUUAUACAAAACAUUUGUAAUAAUGUGACCAGUUGAUGAAAUUCCAGUUUUCACGCAAAACCUGAAACCUUUGCAAGCGCAAAAUGUGAUCUCUACGCUAGAUAUGCGAUUGACAAAGAGAGGGAGAUGGGGUUCCUUGUAUCAGAUAAGUUGUCCAUAGCCAUCCAUGAUGCUGACCUCUAUCUUAAUGGUGACAGCCCGGACGGGCGGAGCUCCGGCUGUAGUUGAAACAGGUGUUUGUCUCUAGCUCCUACACCACGGUUUUUUUGAUGUUCAACGUGAUAGAGCCGGACCAUAGACACCUGCAAUUUUUUGUAUGUGCAUCAUCUUUUUUAUGGGAUAUUAUAUGUGUUAUAUCAAUGCACAAAAAAAACUACAAACUAUAUUAAAAGUGAAUUGUUUUUUGCAGCAUAUUAAAAGUGAAUAGUUAGUGUGUACAUUUGCUCGAGUAGUGGUUUGAGAAUUAACAUAAUCAUAACAUAAUUUUUUAGUCAGCACAAUACGAGAAAAUCAUGUAUCGUCGGGACACACUAUGCUGAUUCGAAUCCUUCCGCACAAGUCCUCGCCUUCAUUAAUUAAUUUAAUUAAUUCACUAAUUUAAUGAAGGCGUCCUCAUGCAUGUUCCAGGAAUCCCUCUCCAUCUUCCAUUAAUUAAUAGACCCCCUUAAUUAACUCUAAUCAGCUUGGUGGCUUGGGGGUACCCAAUUUAAGAGAGUUUAACAUGGCUUUGUUAGCCUCUUGGGCUAAAAGAUACUUCAUGAAUCAGGAUAAAGAUUGGGUGAGAUUGAUAGAUUAUAAAUAUAAAACUAAUAAACCUAAUUUGUUGUGGGCUAAACAAGAUGUGGGUUCGCCCUUUUGGAAAGGGGUUACCUGGCCCUUUGAAGGCAUAAGACCUUUUUUAGAUGGAAUUUGGAUAAUGGUGAUAAGUCAGCUUCUGGGAUAACACCUGGGUGAGGGAUUCUUCCCUGAAAACUCAAUUUUUGGGGGUUUAUGAGAUUUGUCAACAACAACAAUGUGUAGUGUCUGAGGUGUGGGAUCGUACCAACCUAAAGCUCACCUUUAGUAGAUGUGUAGAUGCUGAAUUUAUGAAAAAAUGGCGCGACCUGAUUCGGGUCAUCUCUACCAAACAACUCACCAAUGAGGAGGAUCACCCUGUUUGGCUGUUGGAACCAUUAGGGAUCUACUCGAUCAGAUCCUUUUACAACAUGAUUAACUGGGGUGGGGUCUCUACCCCACUUUGGAAAAAAUUCUGAAAAAUUGUUGUACCAAACAUAUACUUGGUCUUUGUGUGGUUGGCUUUUAAUAAUAAAGUUCUCACCUGAGACAACCUAAACAAGAGGAGGGUGGUAGAGAAUUUAAACUGCUUAUUUUGUAAUGAGAAUGAAUCAGUUCAUCACCUGUUCUUUGAGUGUGUGGUGGCCAAACAGAUCUGGAUUGAUGUUGUUGAAGUUUUUGGAUUCAAUAUUCCUAAAAAUAUGAUUGAGUUAUCUUCAUUCUGGGAAAUAAACAACAAGAAAACUGUUAUUAACAUUGCUUGUGUUGCUGCCAUUUGGGGCAUUUGGAUUAUGCAUAAUGAUAUUUGUUUUCAGGGCAUAUCAUGGACAAGCACUCGUGCGAUCUUGGAGAGGAUCAACUUUUCUCGACACCAGUGGAAGAUUCUCUGCGGAGGCGAUCAAUCAGUGCUGCUACGACACUGCCUCCAGCUUCUGGACCGUUGAAGAGGCGAGUUGCUCAGAAUCGCUUGGGUUGGGAACUGAGAGCGUGUGCAAAGAGGACCCGGGGUGGAAACAUGCUGAAAGCUCAUUCGGGAUGAUCUCGCGAGCAAGCUGAUGGUUGUUCUAUUCUCUGAGGAACAUUCUGUAUUGCUUGGCUGGUGGUUUCGGUGUUUGCCCUGCGUGGCACUAGACUCUCGCUUAGCAGUUUCUUGUUUCAGUUUUUCGGGCUAGCGCUUUAAGAUGUAGAGUUGCAUUUCUAUUCUCUGGUCGGCCACUUCCUGUAGACCCGAUUGCUUGUAACAGUCACCGUGACUUGCUUUCUCCGUUUUCUAUAAAAGUGGGGUGGGGGAAAACCCCUUUUGAUAAAAAAAAUUGAGAAAAAAUUCAAAAUAUAAGGUGUAUUGUGUUACACCACUCGUUUGAAUAAUUUUUUUAGGGAUUUGAUUACAUUUUCUUAUAUCAGACAAGCUUUUCUAUUUUCUCAAUUAGUCAUGUGUAAUCUCGUCCAAAACUUGUGAAAUUUUUUCUUCAUGUGCGUUCUUUAAUUUCCGUGCCAAAAACUAUACAUCCUAUAUUUAGAAACAGAGGAACAAGGAUGAGUGGUGUCAGUGUGUAAAAUUUCAGGGAAAUAUGUUGAAAUGUGAACUGUGCAAAAUAAUAGUACAAAUCCAUGCUCUGCGAGGACGAAUAAUAUCAUGUGUUAAAAAGACUCAGAUUUUUGUUUCACGGCCCUUAUUUCAACAUAUUUCAUCCUAAAAAUUUACACACUUGUGCAGCCUUCAUCUAUAUCUGUAUUUUUUUCAGAAUUUUUUUAAAUGUGAAAAUAUGACUUUCACGAAUUUUGAAUUUUGCAUGUGGAGGCCUUCAUGGAGCUUGGCCUCCAAAAGCAAUUUCCUGCUUCAACUUUCUUAUAAUUUCGUAGUGCUUAGUUAAAGCAUAUUUUUAUUUCGCUACAACAAUUUUGGAAAAAGCAUCAACCAUUCAGUUCAAGCUUAGGCCUUCAGCAUUACAGCAAGGGCCAACACCACAAUAACAGCAGUAAAAUCCAGUGAACCUACUCCAUUUCAUCGACAGACCGAGCACAUAACGAAACUAAGCAACAGAUACUCCAGACAGAGCACAUAACGAAACUAAGCAACAGAUACUCCACUAGGAAGCACAUCAGCAGAGCGAAAGACAUGACAGGCAGGUUGUUCUCUGUUUCCAGCACACAUAUCUACAAACAAGGCGGCACAUCAGCGGGGACUGACAGGGUAUGCAAGCUUCUGAUCUCGUCAGGCCCCAAUACCACCGGCUGCGGCGAAGACUGCUUCAGACCCUACUUGCUCUUGCUGCUCUUCGCCCGGAGCUCCGCGGCUCCAGCCUUGAUGCUGGACUUGGCGAGCGACGUGGGUUUCAGGACGCUCUUCGGGUUCAAUGCCUGCCGGAGCUUGAACACAGCCCACGCCGUUCCGAUGGCGUGGCCUGCCGC
RNAcentral lists this long non-coding RNA (30032 nucleotides) under Triticum aestivum (bread wheat). RNAcentral describes it as "long non-coding RNA (TAES_LNC015472)". The record is from RNAcentral. Lineage: Eukaryota; Viridiplantae; Streptophyta; Magnoliopsida; Poales; Poaceae.